GCAAGUCGAGCGCACCCUUCGGGGCGAGCGGCGGACGGGUUAGUAACGCGUGGGAACGUACCCUUGUCUACGGAAUAGCCUUUGGAAACGAAGAGUAAUACCGUAUACGCCCUUCGGGGGAAAGAUUUAUCGGAGAAGGAUUAGCCCGCGUUAGAUUAGAUAGUUGGUGGGGUAAUGGCCUACCAAGUCACCGAUCUAUAGCUGGUUUGAGAGGAUGAUC
This 220-nucleotide ribosomal RNA is filed under the name uncultured bacterium. RNAcentral's name for it is "partial 16S ribosomal RNA". It matches the Rfam family "Bacterial small subunit ribosomal RNA", at positions 57 to 305 of the family's 1533-position model. The record is from RNAcentral.